This 764-nucleotide long non-coding RNA is filed under the name Agrilus planipennis (emerald ash borer). RNAcentral describes it as "uncharacterized LOC112904585, transcript variant X2". The record is from RNAcentral. Lineage: Eukaryota; Metazoa; Arthropoda; Insecta; Coleoptera; Buprestidae.
ACAACAGAACAUUAAUAAUUACAGUAGUCGAGGUUACGCGUUAAUGUGUUGUUUGUGAGAUCGUUUGAAUGUACUUUCUUUGUUCAUGUUAUUGUCCGACAAAAAUCAAACAAGGAACAUUAGAAAACACCAGAUGCCAUUAAAUUAAGGAGCAUCUGUUGUAUCACUCCUCAUUUGCUCCAUAAAGUAGAUGUGUACUUAUGGUCCUAAAGAAAGCAUGGAAGUGCCUUUUUUCCAUUGGGAAUAAAAAGACAGUGUGCUGUUGCUGUAGAAAAUAUUCGUGACAGUGAACUGAUUGUCUAACGAACAAAUGAGAAGGAAAACUGCAGUUAAUUUUGAUGCUUUUGACAUCUUCGCCUUGCAACAUUAUGCAGUUAAUUUUGGCCCUGAGAAUGGGAGGCAAUUGGAAAUUAAUUUGGAAGUCACUGAAACAACAAAUAGUCUGCAGUGGUAUCAUUCCUAGAUUUGGUUUGCUCAAUACACUGAUGAACUUUAGAACGCUACUUUUUACUAAGGUGAGAGAACAUAACAUAAUCAGUUUAAGUUAGAUUCCUGACCGUUACUAUUAAAUUAUGCAGUUUUUUUUCACGGUGGCGGUCAAAUAAUUACACAACUACUAUUGUUUAUUCUAACGUUUUGGUUUAUUUAACCUUCUCUAGACUGAAAAAAAUUUGCUUUUUACUUAUAGUUCUUCUAGUUAGAUGUUAUACAUUUGUUUGUAAAAUAUAAAUAUAAUUAAUAGUCAAAGAACAUACCUUUUGGAG